GUGAAUCAUCGAAUCUUUGAACGCACCUUGCACUCUUUGGUAUUCCGAAGAGUAUGUCUGUUUGAGUGUCGUGAAAUUCUCAACCCCCUUAUUUUGUAAUGAAAUGGGUCGUGGGCUUGGAUUAUGGCUGCUUGUCGGCUCUUCAUUGAAGUCGGCUCAGCUGAAAUACACGAGCAACCCAAGCUGAAACGGCGCGACGGUUUGACUCGGCGUGAUAACAUAUUUCGCUGAGGACGUCGCACCUAUAACGUUUCGAGCGAAGGUGCUUCUAAUGCGAAGUUUUUCACUUUAAGUUUUAGA
RNAcentral lists this unclassified non-coding RNA (300 nucleotides) under uncultured Cystobasidiomycetes. RNAcentral's name for it is "sequence contains 5.8S rRNA gene, ITS2". The stretch from base 1 to 71 matches the Rfam family "5.8S ribosomal RNA", at positions 84 to 154 of the family's 154-position model. The record is from RNAcentral. Lineage: Eukaryota; Fungi; Basidiomycota; Cystobasidiomycetes.